RNAcentral lists this ribosomal RNA (233 nucleotides) under uncultured bacterium. RNAcentral describes it as "partial 16S ribosomal RNA". It matches the Rfam family "Bacterial small subunit ribosomal RNA", at positions 981 to 1205 of the family's 1533-position model. The record is from RNAcentral.
UGGGUUUGACAUGGAUCGGGAGUGCUCAGAGAUGGGUGUGCCUCUUUUGGGGUCGGUUCACAGGUGGUGCAUGGCUGUCGUCAGCUCGUGUCGUGAGAUGUUGGGUUAAGUCCCGCAACGAGCGCAACCCUUGUUCACUGUUGCCAGCACGUUAUGGUGGGGACUCAGUGGAGACCGCCGGGGUCAACUCGGAGGAAGGUGGGGAUGACGUCAAGUCAUCAUGCCCCUUAUCG